Long non-coding RNA from Brassica napus (rape), 1134 nucleotides. RefSeq lists it as uncharacterized. Lineage: Eukaryota; Viridiplantae; Streptophyta; Magnoliopsida; Brassicales; Brassicaceae. The transcript has 3 exons. The record is from RefSeq and is a predicted model, not a curated record.
AUAUUUUUGUGUUUUAGUGAUGAAUUUUCUUAUUUAUAAAAUGAGUUUAUUUAGUCGAAGACCAAAAAAAAAAGAAUGAGUUUAUUUAAGGACGCAUCUCUUCAACAGACAACAAUCCAUCGAUUUCUUCAAUUAAUGAAUUCGUUUCACCUGCAUAUAACUCUUCAAAUUCACUCAGGCUCCCAAGAUAUAACUUCCUCACCGCUUUCUCUGCUCGCUCAAUUCACCCACAUCCAAACAAAUCUCACCUCAUCGAUGGCUUCAAAAUUCUACUCGCAACUUUGAUUGAUGAACAGAGGCAGUCAUACAUGAGGUUAAGCUUCCCAUCAGCUGAAGCCACGAGAUGACGAAAGCACUAAUGAUUGUGACGAGUGUGAGUAUCAGGUGGUGACAUAGGAUGCGGCUCUGGUGAUGAGUUCACCAUCUUCCCGCCGAGCGGCAGAGUAGAAGACAAACAAACGAAAAUCUUUAGACUUUCACUGUGUCAAACAAGUAGUUACAACACAACCUCCGUUGGUCUUGCUUACUUUCAUGUGAACACCAGCUCCUCUCCUUGCAAAUUUGUAGGUAAAUAUGAAUCUGGUAAAUGGCACUGCUUUUGUCAUCAGGUUUUUACCAUCACCAUUGGAUGGUACAGAUAUACAAGCUGAAACCUCAAAAUAACAUGAUUCGUGGUAAAGGAAAGAAGCUGAAACUGGUAAAGCAUAAAAAAAAUUCGGUGAAAUUAUUCUAAAAUCCUCUUACAUACUCAUUGAAGUACUAUUUAAAACUUUUGAUAAGUAACCCAUAUUAGUUGAAUAUCGAAUUUAUUCGCUAGAUUAGGUAUCAAUUGGUACAAGACUGAGAGAUAAUGAGCUAACACUGCUUUUGUAUCUUGUUUCCAGAAAACAAGCUCAGGAUGGAGCUCAAAUUGGCAAAAGAAGAAUUUGUAGAUCUAGAAAUCCUACAACUCUAAGACUAUGUUUUCGUUUUAUUAUGUUAAAAACUUUUUCAAUUUUCUUGGUUGUGAAACGAUCUUUGACCACUGGAGGAGUUUUGAGUUUGAAAACUGUUAAUUUGAACUUAUAAAAACUAUCCUUAUUCAGAAUAUGAGUUCAAUUGGUUCAGACAAUGUAAUUUUUGUAUUGUCACUAA